Molecule: ribosomal RNA, 525 nt
Filed under: uncultured bacterium
Lineage: Bacteria
Description: bacterial SSU rRNA
Rfam family: Bacterial small subunit ribosomal RNA
Source: RNAcentral
GGGAAUAUUGCACAAUGGGCGGAAACACCUGAUGCAGCAACGCCGCGUGAGUGAUGACGGCCUUCGGGUUGUAAAGCUCUGUCUUCAGGGAACGAUCAAUGACGGUACCUGAGGAGGAAGCCACGGCUAACUACGUGCCAGCAGCCGCGGUAAUACGUAGGUGGCAAGCGUUGUCCGGAUUUACUGGGCGUAAAGGGAGCGUAGAGCGGACUUUUAAGUGGGAUGUGAAAUACCCGGGCUUAACCCUGGGUGCUGCAUUCCAAACUGUGAUUCUAGAGUGCAGGAGGGGAAAGUGGAAUUCCUAGUGUAGCGGUGAAAUGCGUAGAGAUUAGGAAGAACACCCGGUGGCGGAAAGGCGACUUUCUGGACUGUAACUGACGCUGACGCUCGAAAGCGUGGGGAGCGAACAGGAUUAGAUACCCUGGUAGUCCACCCCGUUAACAACGAAUAUUAGGUGUAGGGGUUGUCAUGACCUCUGUGCCGCCGCUAACGCAUUAACGUAUUCCGCCUGGGGAGUACGGUCGC